GCACGGGUGAGUAACACGUAGCUAAUCUGCCCUAUGCUAAGGGACAACAGUUGGAAACGACUGCUAAUACCUUAUACUCCGCUACUACAUAAGUAGUAUCGGGAAAGUUUUUCGGCAUAGGAUGAGGCUGCGGUCUAUCAGCUAGUUGGUGGGGUAACGGCCUACCAAGGCUAUGACGGAUAGCUGGUCUGAGAGGAUGAUCAGCCACACUGGAACUGAGACACGGUCCAGACUCCUACGGGAGGCAGCAGUGGGGAAUUUUGCUCAAUGGGCGAAAGCCUGAAGCAGCAACGCCGCGUGGAGGAUGACGGAUCUAGGUCGUGUAAACUCUCUUUUAAUAAGGGGAAAGAAAUUUGACGGUACCUUAUGAAAUAAGCACCGGCUAACUCCGUGCCAGCAGCCGCGGUAAUACGGGGGGUGCAAGCGUUACUCGGAAUCACUGGGCGUAAAGGGAGCGUAGGCGUUCUAUUAAGUCUUGAGUGAAAGCCCGCAGCCCAACUGCGGAACUGCUCAGGAAACUGAUAGAAUAGAGUAUGGAAGAGGUAGGUGGAAUUUCCAGUGUAGGGGUAAAAUCCGUAGAUAUUGGAAGGAAUACCAGAAGCGAAGGCGACCUACUGGGACAUUACUGACGCUGAGGCUCGAAAGCGUGGGGAGCAAACAGGAUUAGAUACCCUGGUAGUCCACGCCCUAAACGAUGAACACUAGUCGUUACGGAGCUAGUCUCUGUAGUGACGCAGCUAACGCAUUAAGUGUUCCGCCUGGGGAGUACGGUCGCAAGAUUAAAACUCAAAGGAAUAGACGGGGACCCGCACAAGCGGUGGAGCAUGUGGUUUAAUUCGAAGAUACGCGAAGAACCUUACCAAGGCUUGACAU
RNAcentral lists this ribosomal RNA (873 nucleotides) under uncultured bacterium. RNAcentral describes it as "bacterial SSU rRNA". It matches the Rfam family "Bacterial small subunit ribosomal RNA", at positions 100 to 987 of the family's 1533-position model. The record is from RNAcentral.